This 253-nucleotide ribosomal RNA is filed under the name uncultured bacterium. RNAcentral describes it as "partial 16S ribosomal RNA". It matches the Rfam family "Bacterial small subunit ribosomal RNA", at positions 524 to 776 of the family's 1533-position model. The record is from RNAcentral.
UACGGAAGGGGCAAGCGUUGUUCGGAAUCAUUGGGCGUAAAGGGCGCGUAGGUGGUUCUGUAUGUCUACCGUGAAAGCGUACGGCUCAACCGUAUUUUGUCGGUAGAAACUGCAGGACUUGAGGCUGGGAGGGGCUGGUGGAAUUCCCUGUGUAGCGGUGAAAUGCGUAGAGAUGGGGGAGAACACUCGUGGCGAAGGCGGCUCACUGGCCCGGUACUGACGCUGAGGCGCGAAAGCGUGGGGAGCAAACAGG